This 4145-nucleotide long non-coding RNA is filed under the name Arachis ipaensis. Its description in RNAcentral is "long non-coding RNA (AIPA_LNC001378)". Lineage: Eukaryota; Viridiplantae; Streptophyta; Magnoliopsida; Fabales; Fabaceae. The record is from RNAcentral.
AUAUCAUCUAAUAUCACACAAACUAAACUUUUCCAAGAGCCUAACAAUUCCUCAGCAACAUUGUUAUUGGUUUCAUCAUUCAUGUUAAAUGGAAGAAACUCAAAGUAAGCAGUAUUUGGAAACAACACAUAUCUUGUAGUCUCAGGGGGUUGCAUUAUGUCUAAGUUCAAACCAACACUACACUCAGAAGCAAAGUAAUCUCCUCCUAUAACAGGUACUUCUCCUGCAUAAUACUUUACCUUUGGAUAAUAUUGCUUCAUGAUUCCAGUGCUAACACACUUUAUAUAUCGAACGUUUUGCCACAAUCUAUCUGCAAUUCCACUCCAAUCAUUACUAUUAUCUUCACAAAUUAGCCUUAUUCUGUUUGGUUUAAUUAAUUAAAAAAAUAAAUUAAAAAAAUCUUUAAUAUAAUUGCUAAACAAUCUCAAACAUGUGACAUCCAUCGUAUUAUUUAAGUGUAAAAUUCGAUUUUAAUAUAAUGUAUAACAAAUUAGCGUAUUCUACAAAGGAAAUAUUAAGACUAUUUUUAGUAGAGAACUCAUUUCUGUCUCUAAAAUGUAACUCUAAAUCAAUCUUUACGUCAUAAAAAUAUAUAGAAACUUAAAGUAUCUCUCUUUUUUAUUAAGAGGAACUAACUUUAGUUAAUUAAUUAAAGUAAUUAAAAUUUUUUAUAAAUUAAAAAUUAUUAAAACAAAAAAUAAAAAAUCUCUUAUUAGCUUAAAAGGAGGAGGGGGUGGGGGGAAUAGCUGUUGCAAAUGCAAUUCGAAUUCUCUGAUUCCUAACCGUAUCAUAUCCUAUAUCCUCAUUCGCCGCCGACAUGAGCAACGAGAAUUGGCAGUUGUUGAACCCGGAAACGGUGCUGUCAAUCCCACUGAAGAAGACUGAUCUGGUGGAGCUGUACUUGCCGUUACGUAACUUGGUAGCCUCAAAAUACUCCGAGAGCGAUGCACAAAAAGUUGAAAGCGUUCUGCAAACUCUGAACAAAUGCCGCAUGGACAUGGUGGAGCGUAGAGGGGACCUCUCCCUUCCCAUGCAACGUGACUGCCUCAUCCAUUACUUCAAAUGUCUUUGCAUGGUUGAGUCACUCUUCACCUCUCUCUCCUCCGACGCCGACCCCAUCAUCUUUGUCUGGUACGACGCCUUCAACCCUGAGCACGAGGAUGGGGUCUCCUCACAGCGCAACGGCAUCCAAUUGGAGAAAGCCGCUGUUGUCUUCAACCUUGGAGCCAUCUGCAGCCAGAUUGGUGCCUCUUGCGACCGUACCACCGCCCUUGGCCGUCACCUUGCAAUGGAAGCCUUCAAAGUUGCCGCCAAUUUCUUCUACAAACUCUGGAAGGCUUUUGCCAAGCAUGUGGUCUCCGCCACGCUCGAUUUGACUCUAUUCUUCGCGGAGUUUCUGCACCGUCUCUUCUCCGCUCAGGCUUCCGAGCUCGAAUUACAGGAGCAACUCAACAACAACGACGCCGGUUACGCUCUCCAACAACACCGAUGUGCCCUAGCGUUUGCAUCGGUCAGUCUUUACUCUUGAAUUCUUGAUUGAUUUUACAUUUAUUUUUUCAUUCUAGUGAUGAUGAUGAUGAUGAUGACGAUGUAGGUUUAUGAGCAUUAUCAUAGAGCAUAUGAACUGAUACCUCCUGAUUCGGCAGCACGGAAACAUGUCGACUCUUUUGACCAAACCUGGGUAACUCAUCUUUACCAGAAGGUGACAUUCUUUCAGGAGGAGGCUCGUCAGAGGCAAUCAUCCAUCCUAACCGAAUCCGAGCGACCUUCUGUGUUCUCAAGGGUCCAAUCUUGUGCUCUUGAUCAUGAUGCAGAAUGUGUCACUGAGAUAUUAGUUAGAGGGUUUUGCAGCAUUUCCAGGCACUCGAUAUUCAAGCCACGACAAAUAUACGUUGACCUCAUCCUCUCGGAGUACAAUCCUUUUAAGCUUAUGAAGGAUGGAAAGCUGGUGGCUUACCCAUGGGACAUGCCUCCCCCUUAUCAAACGGAUUCGGCAAUCCUCUCAUCUUCGAUGUCUUCUUCGCCGUUUUCACAUAUGCUUGCAUUCCUUCCUUUGAAGAAGACUGAGCCCUUGCAUCUCUAUGAAUCCCUGCGCAAUUACUUUGUCCUCAAAUACUCUGAGAGCGUGGCAAAGAAAGUAGAAGGCCUUCUCGAAAUGCUACACAAAUUGCGCAAUCAGAUGCUGCGUGAUGACCUUUCUCUACCCUUUCGCCGUGACUGCCUCAUCGGUUAUUUCAAAUGCCUUUGCAUGAUUGAGCCUUUCUUCCCUAUGAAUGCCUCACCCAACCCACCUAUCUUUGUUUGGUACAAUGCCAUCAACCCGCAACAAGACUGUUCUCAGCAUGACAUCCAUUUGGAGAAGGCCUCUGUUCUCUUCAACCUGGCAGCCCUCUGCACCCACAUUGCUCUCUCCUGCGAUCUCACCACCAUCCAAGGCCAUUGCCUUGCCGUGGAUGCCUUAAAUGAUGCUUUACAUUGGCUCAAAAAACUGAUUUUUCCGUCUAAGAAGGCAUCUGGCACGAUUGACUUGUCAGAACUAUACACCCGUGCGAUAAACAAUGAGAUUGUCAGCUUGAAAUCCAAAUUUCCUCAUCCCCAAUGUGAUGUAUCCUCAUCACCUGGAUAUCCUGUAUGUAAAACUAACUACCUUUUUCAGUUGAUACUUUCUUAGUACAAUUGAUUGAUGUCAAUCUUGAUUUGUUAAAUUGUUUGAUUGAGAUGAUGCAGGCUGCAGCUUCUGAUCCGUUGGCAUCUGGGCCUUUAGCUGAGAUUCUUGUUCAAUCCUCGCCACCUGAAUUUCGUGGGUCGAAGAUGAAAACCUGCCCGAGUGACAGUGACGUCAUCGGACAAUUUCUUUUAGGGUAUUAUAAGGCUCACUUCCUGCUUCAAAAGGUAUGUGAAGCACCAUGCUUGGACCUUCUCUCUGAGGUUAGCCCUGUCAAGAUUAAGGAUGGAAAUCUUGUGGCCAAUGCAACCUUAGAGGCGGCAUUGGAGAACAUGAGCUUGCAGGAGACACAACAGUAACAUUACCGUAGAGAAAAACUAAACAAGAUUUAGGAAUGCACUUAUUUACUUUUUUAAAUUGGAUGUUGGAACUUUGUUUGUUGAUGCUAGAACUCUUUUUGUGAAAUAUUAUCCUCGUGAUUUUGUUUGUUAUGUGAAUAUAUUUCUUCUUAUUCGUCGACAAUUUGUAGUGAUCUGUAUGCCUCUGAUAUGAUCUCGUAGCUAUUGCUAGUUAUUGUUGCAUAUUAGUAAAUUGAACUUAUUCAGUGUCUCCAAUCUCCAUCAAGGCCUAAUAAUUUUAAACAAGCAAAUAAUAUCGUUUCAUUUAGAAUCAUCCAAUAUCACACAAACUAAACUUUUCCAAGACGCUAACAAUUUCAUGAUUCCUUAGAAUCUUGGGUGGUUUAUAUUGACUAGCUGGUGUUCCAUUUCUAAUGGCUGCUUCAUAUAACUUAUCAAAUGCUCCAGGCCUUAGAAUGAAUACCAUUUAGUUCCCAAGUUGACCUUUAACCUUCUCCACUUUGUACAAGGCUCCCAAGCUACCUUCAAGUGAGGUAAUACAACUUCUCAAUGUCCUAAUUGAUUCCUCUUGUUUAUCCUCCAUGAAAUCAGAUUCCUCUUGAACUUCUACGAACACCUUCAACUGCUUCGGCCUUGAUUCUUGGUCUAAGAAACUUGCAAACUCAACUAUCUGUGUUCUCAUCAUGGCACCUCUUAGUGAAAGUUGAAAGUUAUCAAUUGCUGAAAUCAAGUCUCUCUCAGUUAGAAUCUCAGAUGCAGCUUUAGGUGCUCUCAUCACAAACUCCACUUCUGGAGAAGAAUUAUAGAAGCCAAGAAUUCGCACUACAUCACCUAAACGAUAGCGAUAGAAUCCGCCAUAAGUAGUAACAACUAUUUCAUACAUCUUCCUAACCUCUACACUGCUAUGAUCAAACAUUUCGUCAGCAACAUUGUUAUUGGUUUCAUCAUUCAUGUUAAAUGGAAGAAACUCAAAGUAAGCAGUAUUUGGAAACAACACAUAUCUUGUAGUCUCAGGGGGUUGCAUUAUGUCUAAGUUCAAACCAACACUACACUCAGAAGCAAAGUAAUCCCCUCCUACAACAGGUACUUCUCCUGCAUAAUACUUUACCUUUGGAUAAUAU